Molecule: transfer RNA, 74 nt
Filed under: Spirochaetes bacterium GWB1_59_5
Lineage: Bacteria; Pseudomonadati; Spirochaetota
Description: tRNA-Leu
Rfam family: tRNA
About the family: Transfer RNA (tRNA) molecules are approximately 80 nucleotides in length. Their secondary structure includes four short double-helical elements and three loops (D, anti-codon, and T loops). Further hydrogen bonds mediate the characteristic L-shaped molecular structure. tRNAs have two regions of fundamental functional importance: the anti-codon, which is responsible for specific mRNA codon recognition, and the 3' end, to which the tRNAs corresponding amino acid is attached (by aminoacyl-tRNA synthetases). tRNAs cope with the degeneracy of the genetic code in two manners: having more than one tRNA (with a specific anti-codon) for a particular amino acid; and 'wobble' base-pairing, i.e. permitting non-standard base-pairing at the 3rd anti-codon position.
Source: RNAcentral
GCUCGUCUGGCGCAACUGGCAGACGCACAGUCCUGAGAAGGCUGACAGUGCAGGUUCAACUCCUGCGACGAGCA